UACGUAGGGGGCUAGCGUUGUUCGGAAUUACUGGGCGUAAAGGGCGCGUAGGCGGUGUGUCAAGUCAGGCGUGAAAGCCCCGGGCUCAACCUGGGAACCGCGCUUGAGACUGGCACGCUAGAGUUCGGGAGAGGAUGGUGGAAUUCCCAGUGUAGAGGUGAAAUUCGUAGAUAUUGGGAAGAACACCGAUGGCGAAGGCAGCCAUCUGGACCAACACUGACGCUGAGGCGCGAAAGCGUGGGGAGCAAACAGG
Molecule: ribosomal RNA, 253 nt
Filed under: uncultured bacterium
Lineage: Bacteria
Description: partial 16S ribosomal RNA
Rfam family: Bacterial small subunit ribosomal RNA
Source: RNAcentral